Ochotona princeps (American pika) is the source of this 115-nucleotide ribosomal RNA. The record is from Ensembl. Lineage: Eukaryota; Metazoa; Chordata; Mammalia; Lagomorpha; Ochotonidae.
GUCUAUGGCUAUACCACCCUGAAGAUGGUCGAUCUCACUUGAUCUUGGAAGCUAAGCAGAGUCAGGCCUGGUUCGUACAUGAAUGGGAGACUGUGGAAUACUGAUAUUUUAAAAC